ACCCCCUGGUGCGAGGGGAUCCGCGCGGCCGGCCGGCGCGAGCAGGACGCGGCACGGCCGGCGAUCCGGGUCCGGCGCCCGGUGGAGGUCC
Molecule: transfer RNA, 91 nt
Filed under: Methylobacterium dankookense
Lineage: Bacteria; Pseudomonadati; Pseudomonadota; Alphaproteobacteria; Hyphomicrobiales; Methylobacteriaceae
Description: tRNA-Ala
Source: RNAcentral